Molecule: ribosomal RNA, 2299 nt
Filed under: Enterobacter hormaechei subsp. steigerwaltii
Lineage: Bacteria; Pseudomonadati; Pseudomonadota; Gammaproteobacteria; Enterobacterales; Enterobacteriaceae
Description: bacterial LSU rRNA
Rfam family: Bacterial large subunit ribosomal RNA
Source: RNAcentral
GGGUUGUGAGGUUAAGCGACUAAGCGUACACGGUGGAUGCCCUGGCAGUCAGAGGCGAUGAAGGACGUGCUAAUCUGCGAAAAGCGCCGGCGAGGUGAUAUGAACCUUUGACCCGGCGAUGUCCGAAUGGGGAAACCCAGUGCAAUCCGUUGCACUAUCGUUAACUGAAUACAUAGGUUAACGAGGCGAACCGGGGGAACUGAAACAUCUAAGUACCCCGAGGAAAAGAAAUCAACCGAGAUUCCCCCAGUAGCGGCGAGCGAACGGGGAGCAGCCCGGAGUCUGAAUCAGCUUGUGUGUUAGUGGAACGGUCUGGAAAGUCCGACGGUACAGGGUGAUAGUCCCGUACACGAAAGCACACUUGCUGUGAACUCGAAGAGUAGGGCGGGACACGUGGUAUCCUGUCUGAAUAUGGGGGGACCAUCCUCCAAGGCUAAAUACUCCUGACUGACCGAUAGUGAACCAGUACCGUGAGGGAAAGGCGAAAAGAACCCCGGCGAGGGGAGUGAAAAAGAACCUGAAACCGUGUACGUACAAGCAGUGGGAGCCUCUUUAUGGGGUGACUGCGUACCUUUUGUAUAAUGGGUCAGCGACUUAUAUUCUGUAGCAAGGUUAACCGUAUAGGGGAGCCGAAGGGAAACCGAGUCUUAACUGGGCGUUAAGUUGCAGGGUAUAGACCCGAAACCCGGUGAUCUAGCCAUGGGCAGGUUGAAGGUUGGGUAACACUAACUGGAGGACCGAACCGACUAAUGUUGAAAAAUUAGCGGAUGACCUGUGGCUGGGGGUGAAAGGCCAAUCAAACCGGGAGAUAGCUGGUUCUCCCCGAAAGCUAUUUAGGUAGCGCCUCGUGAACUCAUCUUCGGGGGUAGAGCACUGUUUCGGCUAGGGGGCCAUCCCGGCUUACCAACCCGAUGCAAACUACGAAUACCGAAGAAUGUUAUCACGGGAGACACACGGCGGGUGCUAACGUCCGUCGUGAAGAGGGAAACAACCCAGACCGCCAGCUAAGGUCCCAAAGUCAUGGUUAAGUGGGAAACGAUGUGGGAAGGCACAGACAGCCAGGAUGUUGGCUUAGAAGCAGCCAUCAUUUAAAGAAAGCGUAAUAGCUCACUGGUCGAGUCGGCCUGCGCGGAAGAUGUAACGGGGCUAAACCAUGCACCGAAGCUGCGGCAGCGACACUAUGUGUUGUUGGGUAGGGGAGCGUUCUGUAAGCCGUUGAAGGUGUGCUGUGAGGCAUGCUGGAGGUAUCAGAAGUGCGAAUGCUGACAUAAGUAACGAUAAAGCGGGUGAAAAGCCCGCUCGCCGGAAGACCAAGGGUUCCUGUCCAACGUUAAUCGGGGCAGGGUGAGUCGACCCCUAAGGCGAGGCCGAAAGGCGUAGUCGAUGGGAAACAGGUUAAUAUUCCUGUACUUGGUGUUACUGCGAAGGGGGGACGGAGAAGGCUAUGUCAGCCGGGCGACGGUUGUCCCGGUUUAAGCAUGUAGGCGGAGGUUCCAGGUAAAUCCGGUACCUUUUAACGCUGAGGUGUGAUGACGAGGCACUACGGUGCUGAAGUGAUAAAUGCCCUGCUUCCAGGAAAAGCCUCUAAGCAUCAGGUAACACGAAAUCGUACCCCAAACCGACACAGGUGGUCAGGUAGAGAAUACCAAGGCGCUUGAGAGAACUCGGGUGAAGGAACUAGGCAAAAUGGUGCCGUAACUUCGGGAGAAGGCACGCUGAUAUGUAGGUGAAGCCCCUGCGGGCGGAGCUGAAAUCAGUCGAAGAUACCAGCUGGCUGCAACUGUUUAUUAAAAACACAGCACUGUGCAAACACGAAAGUGGACGUAUACGGUGUGACGCCUGCCCGGUGCCGGAAGGUUAAUUGAUGGGGUUAGCGGCAACGCGAAGCUCUUGAUCGAAGCCCCGGUAAACGGCGGCCGUAACUAUAACGGUCCUAAGGUAGCGAAAUUCCUUGUCGGGUAAGUUCCGACCUGCACGAAUGGCGUAAUGAUGGCCAGGCUGUCUCCACCCGAGACUCAGUGAAAUUGAACUCGCUGUGAAGAUGCAGUGUACCCGCGGCAAGACGGAAAGACCCCGUGAACCUUUACUAUAGCUUGACACUGAACACUGGUCCUUGAUGUGUAGGAUAGGUGGGAGGCUUUGAAGCGUGGACGCCAGUCUGCGUGGAGCCAACCUUGAAAUACCACCCUUUAAUGGCUGGUGUUCUAACGUGGACCCGUUACCCGGGUUGCGGACAGUGUCUGGUGGGUAGUUUGACUGGGGCGGUCUCCUCCCAAAGAGUAACGGAGGAGCACGAAGG